Oreochromis aureus is the source of this 1946-nucleotide long non-coding RNA. NCBI's taxonomy places the organism in Eukaryota, Metazoa, Chordata, Actinopteri, Cichliformes, Cichlidae. The record is from Ensembl.
UGUUAGCUCAUCAACCAGGGGACUGGAGCAGCUGUCACUGAGAAAAGGCUAACACGUCCACUGUACUGGGAUCGGGGAAGAAGUGCCAGCACGGCAAGACAGCUGAGAAAACAACACAAAGAUGCACCAACCCUCACAGAUUCUUCAAAGUCGGACACCAGCGGUUAUCACAGCGCUUGACUGGAGGUCACUACGGAUACAACAAGGAGCAACACAGCCUGAACCACAGACCGAGAGCAUGUUUCUAAGGAUGAAGCCAGUCUCAUGGGAUAGCCAUGUUUUGUCUCCAUGACAGCUAGAUCACUCAGCCCUCUCUGCAGUGACCUCUGCACAGCAAAGGAUGCUGGGAAAUAAUGAGCACUUUUAUCCCAGUCAGGAUGACAAAGAUGGGGAGGAUGAGGAGGAGGAAGAGGAGCAGGGAAGAGAAAACAGAAAAGAAGAAGGUGAACGUGACAUGGAGAAUGGACGACUAGAGUAUCUGGAGGAAAAGGAGAUGACAGGAGGACGACAAUCCUGGGAAGGGAAAGGCGGUGAGGUGGUGAAACCAGCAGCCAUUGUGGUCGGACGACAGAGAGUAGAUCGGCCGCUGAGGCCGAGCAAUCAGGGCAACCGGGGGGUCCCUUACAUGCCCAAUAUAGCCCCGAUACAUCAUCAAGCUGCCAAUAAGCAGCAGUAUUUCAUGGCAGCAAAGAAACGAGCCCUCAUGGAGCGCAGCAUGACCACAGUGGCUCCACUGGAGGACACUUACUUGACCAUGAUGGUGUUCCGCAUUGGAAUCCCCGACAUCAAACAAACAGUAGGUGCAUCUGCUCAUAACGUGUGUGUGAAAUUCAUGAAAGGCGGAGGCCCGCACAGCCGUCCCUGGAGCUUCUUGACUGAUCAUUUAAAAGUGAAUAAAGUAGCUGAAGCAGAAUUUUUUGAAGAAAAAAACUUGUCAAACCCAGUCCAAAUCAAACAGUUUAAAAGUUUAGUUCUCCCUGUCAAAAAAAAAAAGAAAAAGAAAGAAGUCUCCCUCACACUGCACUGGAGGUCUUUCCAAAUGAGGAAGUAGUUCAAGCCAAGUCUCCCUGGUAUUACUGCCUCAGAGACAGAGAGCUUUAAUGUGACAAACAGAAAUUCCAAAAUAAUAUCUCAGGCUAUUUAAACCAUUAAGGCAGGUACACAUUUAGUUAAUGUUGCUGUUUCUGAUUCUGAUGCUAUGAUCAACUGCAGACAAAAAGCUCCAAAAAAGUCUUUUUUAUAUUUGUGACUAUUUAAAAAAAAAAGAAAAGGACAACAGCCAUUUAAUGAGAGCUGAACACUGGGCUUUGGUCACCACCUUCCCUAUUACCUCCCCUAAAACUCAGAAGCUUUUCAGUUUUCUCCCUGUCUUUUGAUUUGCUUACCUCCCUUCCCGCUUCUCUUCUAUAACCCAGCCAUUUUCCAUCCUUUGAGUUAAAACACGUCAAAUAAUACUGGUGCGUCGCUGACUCUGUCUGUUUCAAAUUAUUCACAGAAAACACCACAUGGGUGACUUGAUGCAUACAUUUUUUUUAUAUAAGUCAAACAGUGUGCUCAACUGUACAAGCACAUCUCUAAUUUCAAGGCUUUUCCAUUCCAGUUAUCCCAGGGGCUCGGAGAUGAGUCCCAAAGGGAAAUAGGAACUCACACAGAGCUCAGCUUGUGCUGAGCACCCUGCAAGGGAAAACAUAUUCAGUCAACAACACCAUGCAAGCAUCUGCCUUGGGUCAGGUGGUCAUAAUUAGUUUCCAAAACUGAAGUUAGUCUCAUUUCACACUUUGAAGCAGCUCUCAGCCUUACGGUGGCAGCAGGCGAGAAUUGGCCGGCCCACACGCACCAUAUCCAGGUGAGAAUGGGUGCCCCACUGUAACCCCUCCCCCAUCCUCCUUUCUCCAUUUUCAACUCCCUGAACAUGCCGACUGUUCUACAUGUCAGCUAAUCUGCCC